CCUAGUCGAUCGAGCGAUCGAUCGACCGCAUGAUGUCGAAUUCUGUAGCAGAAAAGAAAAAUAUAUAAAGAGGUCAAAGAGAUCAAUCAUUUAAUUAAGCGGAUGAAACAUAUAAAGAGUAAUCACUAGAAUGCUUCUUAACUGUGGCUUGAGUAAUAAGAGAGGACUCUCAAACUGAAAAAAUCAAAUUAAAGAGAGGAAGAAAGUUUUGAGAUUAUGCUCACCGCAAGGCACUGGAAACUCUGUGCUUGCAAUAUUAUGUAUGAGCAGGAGUGAUUAGUUAAGAAAUUUGAUGUUAUGUUAUCAGAUGAAGUUUCGGUAAGAGAAAUAGUGUCCUGCAUACCAAGUAUUUAAUUGGCUCAGGUAAAAGUUUCAUGAUCUAUUAUUUCUUCUAAUGAAGGAGUGAAUUUCGGUAUUUUCUAAUUAAGCACUGGUAAAAUCACAGCAGAAUCUGAUUUCUGAGGGAAAUUUCGAGUUGCAAGUACAAGUCCAUUUAAGUUAUAGAUUGUCACAAGAAGCAUUUCCUCAUCCAUCCCGAUCACAGUUACUGUACAAGCAUCCAUAUGGACCAUAUGGUCCAUGCAUGUGCAAGCACAUUAUUUUCAUAUUUUGUACUAGGUGCCUUGGUAAGAUCAACUAGCAACCUUGACCAUUCUUGCUCACAUACACUAUGGCAGUAUCAUCAAUAUCAGACUAGCAGUUGAUGCAUCAGGAAACAUCCGGUUGUAAGACUGACAUCCCUUGGGACCAUCCAUUACACAGCACUAUUAGUAUGAGCAUACAAGAAAGUUUAACAUUUUGUCAAGCAAACAAGGUAAUAGGUCUGGAGCUAUUCUUACUGCUGUAUUGCCUUACUUUGUGCAUUUUGAUUUGGCAUAGUCUUCAAAAUUAAACUUUAACCAUUUAUUUAUCUUAUAAUAUAUUCUCAAUGGCUACAAAACCAAUAUCAUGUCAUGUGAAAACGCUUGAAAAUACGAAUUUUUUAGUAUAUUCUUUAUAGACUACACAAGCAUAUUCUUUAAUAAAAAACAAGAAACAAGCAUAAAAAUCUAUGAUAUUAUAAAGAUAGCUCGAAAAGAAGACACCAUGUCCACUCUAAAGGCUAGAAAUUACAAUAUUAAUCAGAGAAAAACAGAAGAAAUUAAAUCGUUAUAGUGGGGGUCUAGAUUAUAGCGGUGUAGAUUGAUCGAUAUAGAUGCAAACAAAGUAUAAUGUUGUAUGUGAAAUCAUAUAUAGAGAUAGAAGUUAAGAGUUGUACGUGAAAUCUAAAUCUGAAAAAUAUAGUUACAUCCAUAGAAACAGAAUUUACUUAAAAUUGAAGAGUUGUAUAUGAAAUCCAAAUCUAAUAGAAGCUAAGAGUUAUAUGCGAAAUCCAAAUUUGUUUUUAUAGAAAAUACAUUUACAAAGAUAGAAUUUAAAAGUUGUAUAUCAACUCUAACUCUACUUCAAUCAUCUAGCUCGGCACAAAACUGCACACAGAAUCUCCUAGUUUGACUAAUGUUGGCCAAACUUGUAAGGUUUGGUUUAUUUUCUUCAAUGCGUCCAUGACUUACAAAAUUUAACAGAAGGAGACAUUUUUAUAUUUCUUUUGACGGAAAUAUAAGUUUUUAAUACCUGAUAGCAAGCCAUCAGAUGUGUGCCAAAAGGUGAUAACAGUGCUGUACUAAAAAUGUCUGGGAGGCACGUGCCAAUAAUGUAUGCUGUUUCCAUACUGACCUGGGACAAAAAUGCUCCCUUGAAUAGUUUCUUGGUGUAUGAGAAGCAGGAUAUAAUCUUGCCAUCUUUGGAAUUAGAUUCUAUGGCCAUUCACUCCGUAUCUAAACCAAAUGAAUAUAAGCAUCAUUUGAUUUAAUUGAUCAGAAGCAAACAGUAGCUUGGAAUGGACCGAACAGCAGAGUCUGCCACAAUCUGCCUCCUCUGCAUCUUGAGCAUCACUAUUCGCAUCAUAGAAGGCAAUGAUCAUAAGACGUACUUAUGAUCAUCAUCAGUUCUGAAGGUAAUGGAAUUAUCAGGCAGACUGGCAAAUGUUGUAUGGUUACCAGGUAAGAACCUACACAAAAAAAAAGUGACAUGUUAACCUUCUUAAUGACGCUGUAAAAUAAAAAGCAACUGAUACCAUGAAAGAGACACCAGGACACAUUAACUCACCUCUCAGUUAUGC
Molecule: long non-coding RNA, 2161 nt
Filed under: Oryza brachyantha (malo sina)
Lineage: Eukaryota; Viridiplantae; Streptophyta; Magnoliopsida; Poales; Poaceae
Description: long non-coding RNA (OBRA_LNC000360)
Source: RNAcentral